CUUUUCCCCAUUUGGGGAUGUUCCCCAUGGAGUCUUCUGCAAGACCCCCCCUUUGCCCCCACCUGCACCCCCACUUACCCUUGGUGGAGCUGUUGGACCCCUAGUCACUUGCUGCAAAAGGGAGGAAACACAGGAGUCAGGAUCCCAGGGAGGGAGAUCCCAUCCCCCCAGCCCUUCUCCUCCCUCCUCCCUCCUUCCACCCCCAUCCCAAAUCAGUCUCAAUCUGGGGAUGUUCAGGGACAGGCAGCCCAGAGGCAAGGGGGCUCAAGGACAGCACUGGAGGGAGAAGCUGGAGGGCAAAGAGAGAUGGGCACAGCCUGGCAUGGAGGCAGCGGGGGACUAGAGGGGGUGGGUGCGAUUUGGGCAGGAAGGGGGCAGAAAGCCGGGGGGGGGAGCAGUGGUGCCAAAUCCGGAGGGGAGGGUUCCUGACACCCACAGACUUGAGCCACCCAACUAAUUCUUUAGCUUCAGGUUCUAGUAGAUUAAACCACCAGAGAUCCCUCUCUCCCCACACCAUCGGCUCUUCCUCCUGCUCCUUCUUGGAGCCCCUCCCUCAGCCGACAGUCUCUCUGCAGCCUUUUCCUGGCCCUGAGGGACCCCUUGCUGUCCACAGACAGGCUGAGCAGACAGGCUGAAGCUUCCCAUCAGGGUCUUGGGCUUAAGG
This is a non-coding RNA of Podarcis lilfordi (Lilford's wall lizard), 664 nucleotides long. The record is from the annotation of a GenBank genome assembly. Lineage: Eukaryota; Metazoa; Chordata; Lepidosauria; Squamata; Lacertidae.